This 20-nucleotide microRNA is filed under the name Pteropus alecto (black flying fox). Its description in RNAcentral is "pal-miR-660-3p". Its record names the gene pal-miR-660-3p. Lineage: Eukaryota; Metazoa; Chordata; Mammalia; Chiroptera; Pteropodidae. The record is from miRBase by way of RNAcentral.
ACCUCCUGUGUGCAUGGAUU